CCUACGGGUGGCAGCAGUCGAGAAUCAUUCACAAUGGGGGAAACCCUGAUGGUGCGACGCCGCGUGGGGGAAUGAAGGUCUUCGGAUUGUAAACCCCUGUCAUGUGGGAGCAAAUUAAAAAGAUAGUACCACAAGAGGAAGAGACGGCUAACUCUGUGCCAGCAGCCGCGGUAAUACGGAGGUCUCAAGCGUUGUUCGGAAUCACUUGGCGUAAAGCGUGCGUAGGCUGUUUCGUAAGUCGUGUGUGAAAGGCGCGGGCUCAACCCGCGGACGGAACAGGAGACUUGGAGACUAGAGUAAAGGAGGGGAAACCGGAAUUCCCGGGGUAUCAGUGAAAUGCGUAGAGAUCGAGAGGAACACGCGUGGCGAAGGCGGGUUCCUGGACAUUAACUGACGCUGAGGCACGAAGGCCAGGGGAGCGAAAGGGAUUAGAUACCCUAGUAGUC
Molecule: ribosomal RNA, 446 nt
Filed under: uncultured bacterium
Lineage: Bacteria
Description: partial 16S ribosomal RNA
Rfam family: Bacterial small subunit ribosomal RNA
Source: RNAcentral